Anarrhichthys ocellatus (wolf-eel) is the source of this 3273-nucleotide RNA transcript. RefSeq lists it as uncharacterized. The transcript has 7 exons. Lineage: Eukaryota; Metazoa; Chordata; Actinopteri; Perciformes; Anarhichadidae. The record is from RefSeq and is a predicted model, not a curated record.
GUCAUUCGGUUUGACCUUCCUCAGCCACCGUAGGCUACGUCAGAGGUAAAUACUGUCUGUUAGCCCACCACUAGCUAAGCUUAGCUGUGAAGACAACAUGGCUUUUACUGUGUACUCUCUCAUUCAAGCAGCAAUCCUGUGCGUCAAUGCUGUCGCUGUAUUGCACGAAGAAAGAUUUCUUAGUAAAAUUGGCUGGGGAGUAGAUCAAAGUGUCGGAGGCUUUGGUGAUGAACCAGGCGUCAAAGUGCAGCUAAUGAACCUGGUCCGCUCUGUGAGGACAGUGAUGAGAGUGCCGUUGAUUGCAGUGAAUGCAGUCUGCAUAGUGCUGCUGCUUCUGUUUGGAUGAGGAGGAAGAGGAGACAAACCAGUCUGCUGUCGGGAGAACAUCUCCAUCACCUCAGGAAACCUUCUGCAGAAACAUUGGAUCACUUUGACUCACAACAUGUCUCCUGUCAGCCUGAAUGGGGAUAUUAUAAUUUAAUAUUUCACAUCAAUACAUGGGAUAUUUAUCAAGGCCUGUUUUGUACAGCACAGUAAUUCAAAAUAAAUACAUGCAGCUAUUUAGAAUGGUUAACAUCCUUCUUUUGAAUAGCACAAUAAAAUGCUUAAUAUUAAACACUUAAUGUGUCUAUGAUUUAACUAUCAAUAUAUAUUAAAAAAUAAAAUAACUUUCACGUGGAAGCUGACUGUAUAAUGUUUUCAAUGUAUACGCUGAAAACAUGUAAAUUAAUUUUUGUAUACGUGCUCUGAUUGUUGAAAUGCUGGCAAAGAAAAGAUGUUUUUAAAACUCUCUCUAAGUGUAUUUACGUCUCUCAUUUCCUGAAAUAGUCGAAUCUGUUGUGUUUGUCCCAGCUCGCCCUCCGUACUUUUGACAGUGUCGUGGACAUUGAUGUCCGCUCGUGUUUGUGUUUACUUCUUUAGUCCAGACCGAUUUACAAUUAAAUUAAAUACAUUAGUGAAUUAAAAUGUAGCGAUGUUUGCUAAUGCAUUUAUUAAACCCACGGCGUUGUAUUGUAAUAAUUAAUUUGAGUAAUAAUGGGUAAUGCACAGAGUUCCAUUGUUGCCUCGCUCUCUGUAUCUUGUGUGUAUUUAGUUUAUGUUCACAUUUACUGCUCUUAUAAGUUGUUGAAAACAAAUGUACUGAACGAGAGACUCCCAAGUGUUGUGUACCUUUACAUCAAAUGUGUGUCCAAAGCUCUGACUCGGAGGACAGGCUACUUGCACACAGCAUCUACAAGGAAGCGUGAAGUUGUUUACACGGUCCUCAACUGCAGGCUGGAGACUCCCUUGUUGAGGAGCUUCUGCGAUGCUGCAGGUUAUGGUUGGGAUUAUCCAGACACAGAAUAUAGAGACAUCCCAGUGUGCUUCCCAGAGAUCCUCUGCCGCAGACUGCUGCUUAUGGUGUUAACUGAUGAAAACUUCAGACUCAGCCCAGCAGGUCUGUUUCGUGUGCGUCAGAGUUUGAAAACCCUCCAGCCAGUUGAUGAACUGAAGAAGGGUCCGUUCAUGCUGCAGGUCAGAGUUCAGGAGUACCGGCAAAUUGAUGCAGGGGUGGAGGUCGACAUCGGUCUGUGUGCCACUUCUCGUACCGGAUGCCCAGUGUGGGAAAGCGUCCUGACACUGCUGUCCAAAAACGGGCUCCACAAAGCCAGCAGAUGCUUACCCAAGAAUGCACACGAAUGCCAACCAGAUGAACCUGCGCCAGAAAAUGUGAAGCAGAUAGAGGUCAGAGUUCCCAGGACUACCGGACUGCAGUGUGUUUGGUACUUCUCUGACUACUCACCCUAUCGGCUCCUCUCUCUAUCGGCCAGGCUCUUUGGCUCCAGAUCGCAGACCGCACCAAGUCUCUGGAUGCUGUCUGUCUGCCUGGCUGAAAUAGAAAAGCACAAAGGGGUUGGAGUUAUCACUGCUCCCAUCAACGUCACUGCCGAAUUUAAGGAGCCUCUUUUGGUACCAGGCAGAGUGAAAAUCAAGAUUUGGGAGAAAAACGGGGAUCAGUCUCCUGCCCAAGACCUCAGCUUCCACAUGCAGCAACAUGGGAGCAACGCAUCUCACAUGAUGGGAUUGAUUUCUAGGUGAUUGACUAACUUAUACGGUUAAUAUUUGUAGUUUCGUCAAUACACAAUAAAUGAUUUUCUUUCUGUUUUGUUCUGCUUCAAUUUGGAUAACCCGUUGUAUAAUCAAUGAAAUGCUGUAUGUUUCAUAGAUCUACUGUACAUGAGCACUUUGUCAGAUGGCAUGUCUACCGGUUGACUAUAGGCUAAUGCAGACACCAUCCCUACAGGGAAGGAAGACUUUUCAAUAUUUGACCCCUCUGUUAUUCCAGUUUGCAGCUUUCUUGUGUGUGAAGGUCUGUCCUCCUGUAUUAUUUAUUGGAACACAGUCAGUGAAUGUGAAGCCAUGCAUCCCUGCACCACUGUAACAUUUCAUGAAGGAAUCAUAAAAAGGAAUCAUGUUAGUGCGUUUUAGAGGUGCUUGUAGGCAGAUUUUGUUACUUUUGGACAGGCUAGCUGUUUCCUCGGUUUCCAGCAUUUAUGCUAAGCUAACUGGCUGCUAGCAUUCCUUCUUUAAUAAGAAUAAUUGUCCGAUAAGUGAACGUUCAUGUUGUGUUAUGUAGAUACUGAUUGUUUCCAGGUGAAAAUAUGUGCAGCCAUGAAUGUUAAAUUCGUUGAACUUGGGGGUGGGGGGAAAUAAAUAGUGGUGUGAUUUAAAUGGGUAGAGCGUCCCCGUGACUGCCUCCCUGCACACUGAGCAGUUGUAGUUUAUAAGAUGAGGGGAGGGCGUGUGUGUAGAGUCUCUGUUUAUAGACGACCAGACGGAGGAGAAAUCAGCUUCACCAGUUUUACUACAGAUCGGAGGGACACAUGCUGGCUCAUCCCACUUCCACCAUGUGAUUUUCAUAACAGCAACUUGGGGAAGAUUUCAACUGUGGAAGGCUUAGGGUAAAAGAUUUUUUUAAAUAUUUGAAUGCAAGUGGAUUUUUGUGAAAAUCAAGCUUUAUGCAGGAUUCUGUAUUCUUGUUAAAUCACUGUAAUUGAUAUAUAGCCUACUAGUGUAUGGGACACAGAUGUUCUGUCUCCCUACAAAAGGAACUUCAUUAAAUACUUCAACUCGUGGUUGGCAAUGAAGUAAUUCAAACUAAGGCGAGUCUUGGGUCUUUGAUUAAUUCAACAUUAUUGUCUUAUUCCUCCUCGUCAGUAUAAUUUCCCUCCGCCACAGGUAAAGCUGUUGUCAACCUUCUCAUAGUCACUGCUGAGACAAAAACAGCCACCA